GCAUCCAAUUUUUCGCUAAGAGAGAGUAUCACUAAUGGGGACCAACGACCAAGGCAAUGCUCCGACUGUUGCUGUACAAGCAAGUUCACAACCAUUUUGCAAAGGUAUCACGCGGCCAAGAGGAUGUGAGCAUUAAAACUAGAACACACUGCUGUACUCGUCUUCACUGCUCAUCUGGAUAAACCACAGGAUCGCCACGCCGAAGACCACGAACGAUGACAGCUCCAUCGUCAGGGCUCCCCAUCCAAUGACACCAGCAUGCUUUAGGAUCGACGGAAUGGCAAUGCUCCCCACUAUUGAUGCGCCC
Molecule: long non-coding RNA, 307 nt
Filed under: Setaria italica (foxtail millet)
Lineage: Eukaryota; Viridiplantae; Streptophyta; Magnoliopsida; Poales; Poaceae
Description: long non-coding RNA (SITA_LNC000766)
Source: RNAcentral